RNAcentral lists this ribosomal RNA (465 nucleotides) under uncultured Klebsiella sp. Its description in RNAcentral is "bacterial SSU rRNA". It matches the Rfam family "Bacterial small subunit ribosomal RNA", at positions 338 to 795 of the family's 1533-position model. Lineage: Bacteria; Pseudomonadati; Pseudomonadota; Gammaproteobacteria; Enterobacterales; Enterobacteriaceae. The record is from RNAcentral.
CCUACGGGCGGCUGCAGUGGGGAAUAUUGCACAAUGGGCGCAAGCCUGAUGCAGCCAUGCCGCGUGUGUGCAGAAGGCCUUCGGGUUGUAAAGCACUUUCAGCGGGGAGGAAGGCGGUGAGGUUAAUAACCUCAUCGAUUGACGUUACCCGCAGAAGAAGCACCGGCUAACUCCGUGCCAGCAGCCGCGGUAAUACGGAGGGUGCAAGCGUUAAUCGGAAUUACUGGGCGUAAAGCGCACGCAGGCGGUCUGUCAAGUCGGAUGUGAAAUCCCCGGGCUCAACCUGGGAACUGCAUUCGAAGCUGGCAGGCUAGAGUCUUGUAGAGGGGGGUAGAAUUCCAGGUGUAGCGGUGAAAUGCGUAGAGAUCUGGAGGAAUACCGGUGGCGAAGGCGGCCCCCUGGACAAAGACUGACGCUCAGGUGCGAAAGCGUGGGGAGCAAACAGGAUUAGAUACCCGAGUAGUC